CCCUAGCCCUGAUAGCAGCGGAAAUCCUUCCAGGAUGGCGUUCGGACUGGAAGAUUGUAGCGAAUAGCGGGAAGGAGC
Molecule: non-coding RNA, 78 nt
Organism: Flavobacterium granuli
Lineage: Bacteria; Pseudomonadati; Bacteroidota; Flavobacteriia; Flavobacteriales; Flavobacteriaceae
Source: Rfam